This 1409-nucleotide long non-coding RNA is filed under the name Homo sapiens (human). RNAcentral describes it as "non-protein coding lnc-DNAAF5-1:9". Lineage: Eukaryota; Metazoa; Chordata; Mammalia; Primates; Hominidae. The record is from RNAcentral.
AGUCUUCCCGGCAGCAGUGAGCUCUGUUCGUUUUUCUGAGUAAUAUGGAAAUGGCACGGCUCAGCCACACAAGGGCCUGGGCAAAGGUCACGGCCAGCAAAGAACACAGCCUGGGUCCUCUGAGUCCCGAGUCCACGCGAUCCUGACCCGUCCACCACCCUCCUCGAGACACGACAAGUUAGGCGGGAACAUAACCUGGGAGCCCCAUGUCGGUUUCAGGCUCCACAAGGGAUCUCUGGGUAAAGGGUUUGUCUCUUCCACAUCUGUUCAUUUAGGAGAAGCAAAGAACAUGGAAAGCAGAAUUCCUGGGGGUGGCCUCAACCCCAAGCCCUGCCGAUGCAAACCGGCACCUUGAAGAUGCCUUUGGAAUUUAACUGGAAGAUUUGAAUGACAUGGGCAGACACAGAAGAGGGAGAAGCAUUCCACAGGGGAGGAAAGGCCUCAGUGGGGACCUAUGGAGCUCCCAGGCCCACCGCAGGGAGGCAGGUCCUCGGUCAUCUGCGGAGGGAGAACACUUUCAGUCGAAGGAGCCUGGGACCCUUGACACAGAAGUGACAUGUGCAUUCGGAACCUCUCUGUGGAAAACACAGACCCUUCAUGACACGCAAACUCGAAGCCGAUGCAAUAACCACCUUCGGAGACCAGACCCCUCAAAGAGCACUCAGCCCACAAUGUGACGCAGAGAAACCAGAGACCCAGGCAGGGAGUGCACCCACGGGGACACUCCGAGGGUGGCCUCCUGCCUGCCCUGAUUACUUAAAAAGGAGAUUCUUGGAAACCUUUGCGGGCCCACAGGUGCACCCUGACUCCCAGGGAUGGGGGCUGAGCCACCCAGGAAACAAAUAUGAAAUCAAAGAUCCAGACAGCCCUGACCCUCCUGAUUCCAGGGUCCAUAAAUAAGUCAUUCUUAAAAUAGUGGUUGUUUUCUCUCUAUUUAAGAAGUGCUUCUUUUUUGAGUCCUUGUUCCCAACUUCCCUGGCAACUCAGUUUCCUGUUUCCUCCGGGAGGAAGGCAGAACUGCAGGAGAGGGACGGAGGAACACAGUCCCCAACUCUCUGUGAUCAGCAGAGCCCAGAGAGCCCAGCCUCGUGUACCAAAAAGGUCUGGGAGCCCCAUUUUUCUUCAGAGGAAAUGUUAAUGCCCGAAUGUCACCAGCUCAUCGCCGACAAAGGCCUGAACACAAACGUCUCCAGGCAACAGCCCCGAGCAGUCACUCUGGAAGGUUACGUGAAGCUGCUGGCUCAGAUUUUAAAUCGUCUCACAUGUGGGUUGCCCCACCUACCCCAUCAACAAACACAGCUUCGCACUUCUGCAUCAGAGGCUGUGCUGGGUUCUGGGGACACGGAAGGCCCCCAGCUCUCAGGCCUGGUAAGAGAAAGAAAAACACGAAGACAUUCCAGCCGGCCCUU